Molecule: ribosomal RNA, 403 nt
Filed under: bacterium
Lineage: Bacteria
Description: partial 16S ribosomal RNA
Rfam family: Bacterial small subunit ribosomal RNA
Source: RNAcentral
UGGGGAAUCUUGCACAAUGGGGGAAACCCUGAUGCAGCGACGCCGCGUGAGCGAUGAAGGUUUUCGAAUCGUAAAGCUCUAUCCUAUGGGAAGAUAAUGACGGUACCAUAGGAGGAAGCCCCGGCUAACUACGUGCCAGCAGCCGCGGUAAUACGUAGGGGGCGAGCGUUGUCCGGAAUUACUGGGCGUAAAGGGUUCGCAGGCGGCAUGACAAGUCCGAUGUAAAAGGCGAAAGCUCAACUUUCGUAAGCAUCGGAAACUGUCAAGCUUGAGUGAAGGAGAGGCAAGUGGAAUUCCUAGUGUAGCGGUGGAAUGCGUAGAUAUUAGGAGGAAUACCGGUGGCGAAGGCGACUUGCUGGACUUCAACUGACGCUGAGGAACGAAAGCGUGGGUAGCAAACAGG